RNAcentral lists this ribosomal RNA (997 nucleotides) under uncultured bacterium. RNAcentral's name for it is "bacterial SSU rRNA". It matches the Rfam family "Bacterial small subunit ribosomal RNA", at positions 8 to 1036 of the family's 1533-position model. The record is from RNAcentral.
AGAGUUUGAUCAUGGCUCAGAAUCAACGCUGGCGGCGCGCCUAACACAUGCAAGUCGAACGAGAAAGUGGAGCAAUCCAUGAGUACAGUGGCGUACGGGUGAGUAACACGUGGGUAAUCUACCUCUUAGUGUGGAAUAACCCUGGGAAACCGGGGCUAAUACCGCAUAAGCUCGAGAGAGGAAAGCAGCAAUGCGCUGAGAGAGGAGCCCGCGGCCGAUUAGCUUGUUGGCAGGGUAAAAGCCUACCAAGGCAAAGAUCGGUAGCCGGCCUGAGAGGGCACACGGCCACACUGGCACUGAAACACGGGCCAGACUCCUACGGGAGGCAGCAGUGGGGAAUCUUGCACAAUGGGGGAAACCCUGAUGCAGCGACGCCGCGUGAGCGAUGAAGCCCUUCGGGGUGUAAAGCUCUUUCGGCAGGGAAGAUGAUGACGGUACCUGCAGAAGCAGCUGCGGCUAACUACGUGCCAGCAGCCGCGGUAAUACGUAGGCAGCAAGCGUUGUUCGGAGUUACUGGGCGUAAAGGGUGUGUAGGCGGUUCUCUAAGUUUGGUGUGAAAUCUCCCGGCUCAACUGGGAGGGUGCGCCGAAUACUGAAGGACUAGAGUGCGGGAGAGGAGAGUGGAAUUCCUGGUGUAGCGGUGAAAUGCGUAGAUAUCAGGAGGAACACCGGUGGUGUAGGCGGCUCUCUGGACCGUAACUGACGCUGAAACACGAAAGCGUGGGUAGCAAACAGGAUUAGAUACCCUGGUAGUCCACGCCCUAAACGAUGCAUAUUUGGUGUGGGUCAUUCAGUUGAUCCGUGCCGGAGCUAACGCGUUAAAUAUGCCGCCUGGGGAGUACAGUCGCAAGGCUGAAACUCAAAGGAAUUGACGGGGGCCCGCACAAGCGGUGGAGCAUGUGGUUCAAUUCGACGCAACGCGAAGAACCUUACCUGGGCUCGAACGGCUGGUCAACGCCGGUGGAAACAUCGGUACCCCGCAAGGGGGUCCAGUCGA